RNAcentral lists this ribosomal RNA (497 nucleotides) under uncultured bacterium. RNAcentral describes it as "partial 16S ribosomal RNA". It matches the Rfam family "Bacterial small subunit ribosomal RNA", at positions 28 to 507 of the family's 1533-position model. The record is from RNAcentral.
GAUGAACGCUGGCGGCGUGCCUAAUACAUGCAAGUAGAACGCUGAAGGAAGGAGCUUGCUCUUUCCGGAUGAGUUGCGAACGGGUGAGUAACGCGUAGGUAACCUGCCUGGUAGCGGGGGAUAACUAUUGGAAACGAUAGCUAAUACCGCAUAACAGUAGAUGUUGCAUGAUAUCUACUUAAAAGGUGCAAUUGCACCACUACCAGAUGGACCUGCGUUGUAUUAGCUAGUUGGUGAGGUAACGGCCCACCAAGGCGACGAUACAUAGCCGACCUGAGAGGGUGAUCGGCCACACUGGGGCUGAGACACGGCCCAGACUCCUACGGGAGGCAGCAGUAGGGAAUCUUCGGCAAUGGACGGAAGUCUGACCGAGCAACGCCGCGGGAGUGAAGAAGGUUUUCGGAUCGUAAAGCUCUGUUGUAAGAGAAGAACGAGUGUGAGAGUGGAAAGUUCACACUGUGACGGUAUCUUACCAGAAAGGGGCGGCUAACUACGUG